AGGGUUUGAUCAUGGCUCAGGAUGAACGCUAGCGGCAGGCUUAACACAUGCAAGUCGAGGGGUAUAGUAGCAAUACUAGAGACCGGCGCACGGGUGCGUAACGCGUAUGCAAUCUACCUUUUGCAGAGGGAUAGCCCAGAGAAAUUUGGAUUAAUACCUCAUAGUAUAUAGAGUUGGCAUCAACAUUAUAUUAAAGUCACAACGGCAAAAGAUGAGCAUGCGUCCCCAUUAGCUAGUUGGUAAGGUAACGGCUUACCAAGGCAACGAUGGGUAGGGGUCCUGAGAGGGAGAUCCCCCACACUGGUACUGAGACACGGACCAGACUCCUACGGGAGGCAGCAGUGAGGAAUAUUGGACAAUGGGCGCAAGCCUGAUCCAGCCAUGCCGCGUGCAGGAUGACGGUCCUAUGGAUUGUAAACUGCUUUUAUACGAGAAGAAACAUCCCGACGUGUCGGGACUUGACGGUAUCGUAAGAAUAAGGAUCGGCUAACUCCGUGCCAGCAGCCGCGGUAAUACGGAGGAUCCAAGCGUUAUCCGGAAUCCUUGGGUUUAAAGGGUCC
RNAcentral lists this ribosomal RNA (560 nucleotides) under uncultured Flavobacteriia bacterium. RNAcentral describes it as "bacterial SSU rRNA". It matches the Rfam family "Bacterial small subunit ribosomal RNA", at positions 8 to 570 of the family's 1533-position model. The record is from RNAcentral. Lineage: Bacteria; Pseudomonadati; Bacteroidota; Flavobacteriia.